This is a long non-coding RNA of Gallus gallus (chicken), 5778 nucleotides long. RefSeq lists it as uncharacterized. The record is from RefSeq and is a predicted model, not a curated record. NCBI's taxonomy places the organism in Eukaryota, Metazoa, Chordata, Aves, Galliformes, Phasianidae. The transcript is spliced from 3 exons.
GCUCAUUCCAAACUGCAGCGUGGAUGGAACAUGGCAGUGGCCAAGCCUAAAAAUUUACACUUCUCCCCCUAAACUAAGAAAUUACCACUAUCUGAACCAUCCAUCUUGGCAAGGCUCAAAGCUGCCAAGAAAAUGAGCUCCCAUUUGGGCCAUGGAUCAGAUCUUGUCUACUCACACUAUGUUUAUUUCACGUUCAAGUCCAAUAGGAACCUAAGGAAGUGAACUGUUCAACAGUUUUUGCCUUCAUCAGCACCUCCAACUCCUCAGGCAGUGAACAGAGAGGAGGAUACCAGCUCUGUUUAUAAGGUCACUUUCCCAGUGCUUCAGCAAGAGCUGCCAGAAUGCUGCUCCUUCUUGUACCAUAGAACAGUUCUCCCCAGCAUUUGAACUGCCAUGGCUGCCUUACAAUUGCCUCGCACAGAAGGGUGUUGUUUCUUAUUGUUUGUAGAUCUGCACUUGAAUUGUGAAACCAAGCUGUAGCCCAGAGACAGGAAAUCCUUUUACCAUCCUUUACCUUGGUGCUUCAAGAAGGAAAAUAGCAGCUAAUAAAGGCCAGGAUGUGCAGUCGGUGGAUGGAUUAGAAAAAUUCGCACAAACAAUGAGUGAAAAGUGUAUCCAUUUCACAACUGGCAGCAUUUCCAACAGAAGCUAUCAGGAUAACGUCUGACUCCCACUCUACUCAGCAAAUGAGCAAGGGUAGAAAAGAAGAAUGGUAAAGAGUCUGGAAGCUGAAUAAAAACUCUAGUGGCAAAAAUUGAAGUAGCAGCAGUAAGAAAUGAGUAGUGAUCUAUCUAUUUCCAAGGAAGUAUAUAGCCAUUAAAAGUACCAUGGGAGAAUGAAAGUUCUAAGACUCUUCUUAUAAGUAGGGCAUAUUUUACUAAUAGAUGAAAAGAUAAAAUGAUAAAAUGUUUUACAUGUUGCUAAGAACUUCAAAUCAUUACAGACAUCAUUUGAGCUAUAAAAGCAAGACACUUUGUAUAUUUCAUGCUGAGCUUUCUGGAUUUAAACUAUAGCAUGCUUCUCAAAUUUAUUCAGAUUAAUUAGCAAUAGCUGUAAUGGAAGUUAGUGCCUUGCCAUUGCUCAGCACCCUGCAGGCAUAAAUAGCAUGAAAAAUAUGAUAGUACUAUGAUUUUAUUGAUAUCUGCAGAAUUACAGAAUAUGAAAUACACAAGGACUGCUCCAAAAGUAUGUUAAAAAAACGUUCUGUAGCUGAGAAUUUUCUCUAUCAAACAGUGUCACAGUGCUCUUUGUAGCUGUAGCAGUUUUCAUGGAAAUAAAGAGGAGGCAUUACUUUCAGAGCAACCUACAUAUACUUAAGAGGAAAUUUAGCAAAGAGGAGCCCUUUUUAAAAAAAACACCAAAUGAAGCUCCAGCAGCAUCUAGGAAGAAUAAAAUACUUUUCAUGUAAGCAUCAAGGACUAUGAAGCUCAAAAUCUCAUUCAACAGUAUUUGUUUUAAAAUCACAAGAGAUUUGGAAUCACAAAAAUGUUUUUGGAGCAAAAUGUUACCUGCCUGCAUUUGCCAAUCCUCAUCUGCUGAAUCAGGGCACAUUUACACCUUCAAUCAUUCAGACUGCAAUACAGAAUCAAUACCCACACUGUUGGUUUUAUUCAGUAAUCUCCGUCAAAUGUCUCUGAGAUGGAUGGUUACAAUCAAUCAUACUGGACCCACAGUUGAAAAUCUUAUAUGUUCUUGGCCUGACAGGGGAUUUUCUGUCAGGCAAGUGUUCCAGAAUGAAAGUAAAAAUUACAGUCAUAGUCCCAGCCAUCUAUUUCAAUGAGCUACUGAAGGAGGAUUAAAAGCACAUCCUGUUAAUCCUCAAGUGUUUUUGAUGUAUCUGGAACACUGAGUUUUCCUUCCAGAUUAUUGCGUUAGGACUGAUCAAGGUUGUGUUUGAGAUAAGUAGCAAUUUUGCGAUGGACUUCAGUAGCAGCUGGAUCAGACACUGGAACUGCUUCUAAGAGGUGCUCAUUCCAGCUCCUAGGCAGCAACUAUGACAGCAGACAUACACUAAUCAAGAACUGAGAGUAAAACACUACCACAAAAACUCCCUUCACUAUUUAUUUCCUCCUCCACUGUACUUGGAGCUUGAAAGACAUGCAGCCUGUUUCAUUCUGUUCACUAAGUAUUAAAAACUGUGUCAGUGACUGGAGACUUCUGAGGAAGUACAAAUAUUUUAAAGUUCAAGAACUUGAAAUGUUCAUCUUCUGCACGGCACUAUAAAACCUUUUGGAAUAAAUAAUCCUGAAAGUGUACAUCAAAAUCUUCAACAAAAUCCAUGUCAAACACUUCUCAUGGAAUAACCAGGGAUUUGGAUACAGCAGCAGGAUUCUGUUGUGGAAGGAACUGACAAAAGGUUGAAGCAAAGCAUGUAGUAAUGCCUAAAAUGGCAUGAAAUGCUGCUGAUCCUGUCGCCGCAAGCCUAAAAUCUUGUUAGCCUUAGCUGACUGCUGCCUCCAGUUUUAUAGAUUCUUUGCCUAAUAUUUAUCUGAAGAACAAGAUGCUGUUCAAGUAAGUUUGUAGUACACUUUUACAUCAUAUUAAGUUUUAAGUUUUCUUGCUUCAGUGCUUCUCAACUUAUUUGAAUAGACAGUAUUGUAACACUGAAUUAAGGCUCUUAUUCCUUCAGCUGCCCUGCAAUUUGAGGAACAGCAUCUGGAAGAAAAUUAAAAUAGUAAAACUAAACGCUUACAUUAAUUUCCUAAAUAAGGUGUGUAAAGAUGGCCGUGUUUUCAUAAGCAGCAAACUUCUUGAUUAAUGAGACUGGCCUGCAAACACUUGGCCAUGAAAAAAAUUGUUUGAUCAGGUAUUGAUAAUCAACUCUCAUCUUGUAGGCCUUAGAGAAGCAAUAUAAUUGCUAUAUAACAGUAUUCUAAAGAAAGCAAUCUAUUUAAUUACAAAAGGUGUAUGAAAGCCCAAAAUACAGCAGCAGACAGCUACUGAAAAGCCAUUCAUUAUAAUUAUCAUCAUAAUAAUUAUAAAUGCCUGAUUAAAUGGAGAGAACCUUGUAACGUAUUUAGCAAAGCAUGAGGUCUCACAAUUAAUGAUUUCCGGAAAUAAAAUCAGCUGAGCACAGACAAGAUUAAGACAGCAGUAGAAAAAUGUGUACUGUUACUAUUGUCAUUGAUCAAGGUACAUUUUACUGAUGUACCUCUAAAGACCAGUUUGCUAAAUAAGCCUUCACCAUUCAGAGCAGCUUUUUCGUACUUUCUGUACCACAGCUGCCCUAAUAUGAAGAUAUAUGUACAUAUUUGUUCUCACAAGGUCAUAACAGGAAUAAAAGUACAGAAGGAUCCACCAACCACAGAGAGCUGACACCUUUUUAGACCCUCUGUUUGUACUUCACUUGUGAAGCGCAACCUAGAUUUCCAAAUGAUGGCUGGAUUAAAAAGGAAAACAGUUAUCCAUUUGCUGGGAAGAGAACCUUUCUGAAAGUUAACAGAAAAGUAGUAUACAUUUUCUAUUCUUUUUAAAAAAUCAUAUGCAGAGACAACAUGUGGCACUCACGGGUCAUUAGUUGAGCUGAGUUAGAUCUUCACACCUGUAUUGUAGGGGAGGAAAAGGAAAAAAUAGUAUAGACUAGGUACACAAAAGCACUAAAAAACCAAAACAUUCAACGAAGUUGUGCUCUUGUACACAUUAAAAAAUGACAUUUAAAACACCUUGAGUGAGGAAAACAACAACAAAAAAAUUCCAAGAUGUAUAUAUUCCAACUUUGAUCUGGUCUGGGUAGGUAAUGUCUCUGUACAGAUACAGAGCUGAUGCAGAGUGUUAACAUCUUUGAAAGUCCUGGAAAAACGGAUGAUUUAUUUUCAUAUAACACAAUACUGUCAGACUCAGAGAACACCAGCAUUCUGUCAAGAACUUUCACCUACAUAACUAUUCCAACAACUCCCAAGAGGUGGUUUUGUUGGUAGUGGUGUUGUUUUUGUUGGCUUUUGUUGUUGUUUUUUCCAACAGCUUGCGUGUUACCCCUAGCAGUAAACUGACUACAAGUUAAGUACUGCUUCUUCCUUUCUCUCUCCCGCAUAAUAAUUUGACUAUAACUCAUUAAUCCCAACCAUAUAUUACAUAAAUGAAAACUCCUUAAGACUUGUUCUCAAAUUACGCUUCUAAUAUUUUGAUGGUAGACAGGAGAUAUGGGCUAUAGUCUUUAUUUUCAUUUACUAUAAGAUAAAUCCUGAGAAUAUCUCUAUUUUAAGAAAUGCACUUGCUACAACUCUUGCAGUCUUCCAUCUCCUAUCUACAGGCCUACCCACUCUACUGAAAUUAAAUUACCUUCUGUGAAUUCCACACCUCUAGCUUCCUUUACUACAUGUACACAUCCUACCUGCAUAGAAAUUUCUUGAAGAUAUUGCAAGGCUCCUAAAGGUAGAGCUAUUAACUCCGACAUUAACAUCCAAUGCUUCCCAGCAAAAAAUCCUCUUCCUAAGUCAGAUAACUGGUUCACACUUUGAAAUAGACUUUUUAAAAACAUUUUACAGUUCAGCUUUGACAGUCUACAAAGGGCCCUGUUUGAGGAAACAUUCAGGUUAAGGGGGCUGCCUGAAGGAAAAAGGAAUAAUAGAAGAGGGAGGCUGUUUUGAUAAGGAAGUAGAAAAGAUAAUGAGCUAAGAACUAAGAUGAAGUAUAUCUGAACUUCCGUGUUCCAUCCACUUAUUUCAUGCUCUUUCUGUAGGAAGGAACAGCAGACACUGUCCUAGCAUGAGAUCAGGAUCUUUAGGCAAAGGCCUACUGGUGAUAUGGCAGUCAGGCAGAAAAUCCUGAAAACAAGGUCUUUAAUUUCUCAGUUGUCAUGCCAGAUUAGUGCCACAGGGGAUAAUUUCUAUCUUGCUUUCAGACAUCCCCAUUCAAGUUGGAUCAAAAAUGCAAAACACCAAGUUUGGUAAUCUCAGCUGAGCUCUAUUUGCACAGCUAUUUAUAUCAGGCAUGUUGGCAUGGUCAAAAAUUUCAAGAUAUUCAACCACAGUGGUAUUAAUAGAACAAAAGAACAUGGAGGCUUACUGCAUUGGUUUUUCAGUUCUGUGUUUCACUGGACAGUAUACAAAUUAAGUGGGAAAGUGGGAUAAACAUGUUUCUAUUCUAUUCACAGUAUAUUUAAAUUUUCAAAGAGGCACCUACACAGGUCUGAUAAUCAAAUCAAAUGCCUUUGUAGUGUGCUAGGCCUGACAAUCAAAUCAAAUGACCUUGUAGGGGCUGAAGAGGCUUUACCAUGCCAAGGAUAUGAUAACUGAAAACAAAGGAAUAAUUUCCACAGUGACUGAGAACACAUACUGCUGCUUCUGUAUGGAACUAACGUCUCUAACUAUAAAGUUACUUCUCUUGCUCCUCCAGUGCUCAAACAUUACACCCCUUUUUUUUUUUUCCAAGACAUGUUCAGGUAAAUCAACCAACAUUUGAAUCUAUUCUUCAUGAAACUCAGUCACAGUUAUUAGCAAACUAGACCCUUUCUGAAAAACAGAACUUCUAACAAUUAGUAUUCUCAAAGUCCACCCUCUCACUAUUACUCUGUUUCUGGAAACUACCUGUGUUUCAGAAAAUAAAUUAACUGAAAGGGUGGACAAAGAUUCAUAUUGUUUAACAUGGAUGCAAAUUAUUCUCAAAUUUCAUCAGCAAGCAGUGAGAUAUUCUCAAAUACACAAUAAAUCAGGGAGGUGUGUAGGGAAGACUAGUAUCAUCUCACCAUCAGUAUCACUCUCACACAAAAUAAACGGAUCUACGAUCUUCCCAGGAGUAACAAUAGCACUGAAAUAGAUCUCAUAAUGAAGAUGCAAGUUU